RNAcentral lists this ribosomal RNA (343 nucleotides) under uncultured Pseudomonadota bacterium. RNAcentral describes it as "bacterial SSU rRNA". It matches the Rfam family "Bacterial small subunit ribosomal RNA", at positions 29 to 351 of the family's 1533-position model. Lineage: Bacteria; Pseudomonadati; Pseudomonadota. The record is from RNAcentral.
AAUGAACGCUGGCGGCGUGCUUAACACAUGCAAGUCGCACGAGAACUCUUUAGCUUGCUAAAGAUAGUAAAGUGGCGCACGGGUGAGUAACGCGUGGGUAAUCUUCCUUUAAAUUUGGGAUAACUCGCCGAAAGGUGGGCUAAUACCGGAUGAUAUCUUUGAAACCUCGGUUUAAAAGAUCAAAGGUGGCCUCUAUUUAUAUGCUACUGUUUGAAGAUGAGCCCGCGUACCAUUAGCUAGUUGGUAGGGUAAUGGCCUACCAAGGCUACGAUGGUUAGCUGGUCUGAGAGGAUGAUCAGCCACACUGGAACUGACACACGGUCCAGACUCCUACGGGAGGCAG